UUGUAUCGCAGUACUUUUUUUUUUUUUUUUUUUUUUUUUUGUUCCCUUCAACUCGCGGUAUUGUA
Molecule: non-coding RNA, 65 nt
Filed under: Platyophrya macrostoma
Lineage: Eukaryota; Ciliophora; Colpodea; Cyrtolophosidida; Platyophryidae
Source: RNAcentral